This 1272-nucleotide ribosomal RNA is filed under the name Streptococcus equinus. Its description in RNAcentral is "bacterial SSU rRNA". It matches the Rfam family "Bacterial small subunit ribosomal RNA", at positions 213 to 1478 of the family's 1533-position model. Lineage: Bacteria; Bacillati; Bacillota; Bacilli; Lactobacillales; Streptococcaceae. The record is from RNAcentral.
CUUCACUAGUAGAUGGACCUGCGUUGUAUUAGCUAGUUGGUGAGGUAACGGCUCACCAAGGCGACGAUACAUAGCCGACCUGAGAGGGUGAUCGGCCACACUGGGACUGAGACACGGCCCAGACUCCUACGGGAGGCAGCAGUAGGGAAUCUUCGGCAAUGGGGGCAACCCUGACCGAGCAACGCCGCGUGAGUGAAGAAGGUUUUCGGAUCGUAAAGCUCUGUUGUAAGAGAAGAACGUGUGUGAGAGUGGAAAGUUCACACAGUGACGGUAACUUACCAGAAAGGGACGGACUAACUACGUGCCAGCAGCCGCGGUAAUACGUAGGUCCCGAGCGUUGUCCGGAUUUAUUGGGCGUAAAGCGAGCGCAGGCGGUUUAAUAAGUCUGAAGUUAAAGGCAGUGGCUUAACCAUUGUUCGCUUUGGAAACUGUUAGACUUGAGUGCAGAAGGGGAGAGUGGAAUUCCAUGUGUAGCGGUGAAAUGCGUAGAUAUAUGGAGGAACACCGGUGGCGAAAGCGGCUCUCUGGUCUGUAACUGACGCUGAGGCUCGAAAGCGUGGGGAGCAAACAGGAUUAGAUACCCUGGUAGUCCACGCCGUAAACGAUGAGUGCUANGUGUUAGGCCCUUUCCGGGGCUUAGUGCCGCAGCUAACGCAUUAAGCACUCCGCCUGNGGGAGUACGACCGCAAGGUUGAUACUCAAAGGAAUUGACGGGGGCCCGCACANGCNGUGGAGCAUGUGGUUUAAUUCGAAGCUACGCGAAGANACYUACCAGNUCUKGACAUCCSGAUGCUAUUCCAACAGAUAAGAAGUUUUUUCAGAACAUAGGUGACAGGUGGUCCAUGGUUUUUGUCAGUUAAUGUAGGGAGAUGUUGGGUUAAAUCCCGCAACGAGCGCAACCCCUAUUGUUAGUUGCCAUCAUUAAGUUGGGCACUCUAGCGAGACUGCCGGUAAUAAACCGGAGGAAGGUGGGGAUGACGUCAAAUCAUCAUGCCCCUUAUGACGUGGGCUACACACGUGCUACAAUGGUUGGUACAACGAGUCGCGAGUCGGUGACGGCAAGCAAAUCUCUUAAAGCCAAUCUCAGUUCGGAUUGUAGGCUGCAACUCGCCUACAUGAAGUCGGAAUCGGUAGUAAUCGCGGAUCAGCACGCCGCGGAGAAUACGUUCCCGGCCCUUGUACACACCGCCCUUCUCACCACGAGAGUUUGUAACACCCGAAGUCGGUGAGGUAACCUAAGGAGCCAGCCGCACUAUGGCCGUAAAAAUUCGA